Molecule: ribosomal RNA, 1346 nt
Filed under: uncultured bacterium
Lineage: Bacteria
Description: partial 16S ribosomal RNA
Rfam family: Bacterial small subunit ribosomal RNA
Source: RNAcentral
GACGAACGCUGGCGGCGUGCUUAACACAUGCAAGUCGAACGGAAAGGCCCUGCUUUUGUGGGGUGCUCGAGUGGCGAACGGGUGAGUAACACGUGAGUAACCUGCCCUUGACUUUGGGAUAACUUCAGGAAACUGGGGCUAAUACCGGAUAGGAGCUCCUGCUGCAUGGUGGGGGUUGGAAAGUUUCGGCGGUUGGGGAUGGACUCGCGGCUUAUCAGCUUGUUGGUGGGGUAGUGGCUUACCAAGGCUUUGACGGGUAGCCGGCCUGAGAGGGUGACCGGCCACAUUGGGACUGAGAUACGGCCCAGACUCCUACGGGAGGCAGCAGUGGGGAAUAUUGCACAAUGGGCGGAAGCCUGAUGCAGCAACGCCGCGUGCGGGAUGACGGCCUUCGGGUUGUAAACCGCUUUCGCCUGUGACGAAGCGUGAGUGACGGUAAUGGGUAAAGAAGCACCGGCUAACUACGUGCCAGCAGCCGCGGUGAUACGUAGGGUGCGAGCGUUGUCCGGAUUUAUUGGGCGUAAAGGGCUCGUAGGUGGUUGAUCGCGUCGGAAGUGUAAUCUUGGGGCUUAACCCUGAGCGUGCUUUCGAUACGGGUUGACUUGAGGAAGGUAGGGGAGAAUGGAAUUCCUGGUGGAGCGGUGGAAUGCGCAGAUAUCAGGAGGAACACCAGUGGCGAAGGCGGUUCUCUGGGCCUUUCCUGACGCUGAGGAGCGAAAGCGUGGGGAGCGAACAGGCUUAGAUACCCUGGUAGUCCACGCUGUAAACGGUGGGUACUAGGUGUGGGGUCCAUUCCACGGGUUCCGUGCCGUAGCUAACGCUUUAAGUACCCCGCCUGGGGAGUACGGCCGCAAGGCUAAAACUCAAAGGAAUUGACGGGGCCCCGCACAAGCGGCGGAGCAUGCGGAUUAAUUCGAUGCAACGCGUAGAACCUUACCUGGGUUUGACAUGGAUCGGGAGUGCUCAGAGAUGGGUGUGCCUCUUUUGGGGUCGGUUCACAGGUGGUGCAUGCCUGUCGUCAGCUCGUGUCGUGAGAUGUUGGGUUAAGUCCCGCAACGAGUGCAACCCUUGUUCACUGUUGCCAGCACGUUAUGGUGGGGACUCAGUGGAGACCGCCGGGGUCAACUCGGAGGAAGGUGGGGAUGACGUCAAGUCAUCAUGCCCCUUAUGUCCAGGGCUUCACGCAUGCUACAAUGGCUGGUACAGAGAGUGGCGAGCCUGUGAGGGUGAGCGAAUCUCGGAAAGCCGGUCUCAGUUCGGAUUGGGGUCUGCAACUCGACCUCAUGAAGUCGGAGUCGCUAGUAAUCGCAGAUCAGCAACGCUGCGGUGAAUACGUUCCCGGGGCU